CSUGUUUAACAAAAACAKGUCUUUUUGAGUUAUUUUUUAAUUUUGKCCUGCCCACUGAAGUUUAUUUAAAUGGCCGCAGUAUUCUWACUGUGCAAAGGUAGCAUAAUCAUUAGUCUUUUAAUUGAAGGCUGGUAUGAACGGUUGGRCGAGGUAUAAGCUGUUUCAUAUAAAUUUAUAAUAGAAUUUUAUUUUUUAGUCAAAAAGCUAAAAUUUAAUUAAAAGACGAGAAGACCCUAUAAAUCUUUAUAUUUUAUGUUAUUUAGAUUUUUUAGAUUAAUUUUAUUUUUAUAACUUAAAUUAUUUUGUUGGGGUGAUGUUAAAAUUUAAUAAACUUUUAAUUAUUUAAAAUCAUUAAUUUAUGAGUUAUUGAUCCAUUAGUAGUGAUUAUAAGAUUAAGUUACUUUAGGGAUAACAGCGUAAUUUUUUUGGAGAGUUCAUAUCGAUAAAAAAGUUUGCGACCUCGAUGUUGGAUUAAGAUAUAUUUUUAGGUGUAGCCGCUUAAAU
This 504-nucleotide ribosomal RNA is filed under the name Bactrocera lampabilis. Its description in RNAcentral is "partial large subunit ribosomal RNA". The record is from RNAcentral. Lineage: Eukaryota; Metazoa; Arthropoda; Insecta; Diptera; Tephritidae.